GUCGGGAAUAUUGCGCAAUGGAGGAAACUCUGACGCAGUGACGCCGCGUGCAGGAAGAAGGUUUUCGGAUUGUAAACUGCUUUAGACAGGGAAGAUGAUGACAGUACCUGUAGAAUAAGCUCCGGCUAACUACGUGCCAGCAGCCGCGGUAAUACGUAGGGAGCAAGCGUUAUCCGGAUUUAUUGGGUGUAAAGGGUGCGUAGACGGGAAGGCAAGUUGGUUGUGAAAUCCCUCGGCUUAACUGAGGAACUGCAACCAAAACUAUCUUUCUUGAGUGCUGGAGAGGAAAGUGGAAUUCCUAGUGUAGCGGUGAAAUGCGUAGAUAUUAGGAGGAACACCAGUGGCGAAGGCGACUUUCUGGACAGUAACUGACGUUGAGGCACGAAAGUGUGGGGAGCAAACAGG
Molecule: ribosomal RNA, 405 nt
Filed under: uncultured bacterium
Lineage: Bacteria
Description: bacterial SSU rRNA
Rfam family: Bacterial small subunit ribosomal RNA
Source: RNAcentral